RNAcentral lists this non-coding RNA (151 nucleotides) under Acanthisitta chloris (rifleman). Its description in RNAcentral is "Eukaryotic large subunit ribosomal RNA". It matches the Rfam family "Eukaryotic large subunit ribosomal RNA", at positions 2672 to 2802 of the family's 3401-position model. The record is from Rfam by way of RNAcentral. Lineage: Eukaryota; Metazoa; Chordata; Aves; Passeriformes; Acanthisittidae.
GUCUGAGAAGAGCUGAUAAAAGGAGAGGCCAAACUUUUGCUUCCACAGGGCAGAAGGGCAAAAGCUCGCUUGAUCUUGAUUUUCAGUACGAAUACAGACCGUGAAAGCGGGGCCUCACGAUCCUUCUGGCUUUUUGGGUUUUAAGCAGGAG